CCUACGGGUGGCAGCAGUGAGGAAUAUUGGUCAAUGGUCGGGAGACUGAACCAGCCAAGCCGCGUGAGGGAGGAAGGUACAGAGUAUCGUAAACCUCUUUUGUCAGGGAACAAAGGCGGGGACGUGUCCCCGGAUGAGUGUACCUGACGAAAAAGCAUCGGCUAACUCCGUGCCAUCAGCCGCGGUAAUACGGAGGAUGCGAGCGUUAUCCGGAUUUAUUGGGUUUAAAGGGUGCGCAGGCGGUCUGUUAGGUCAGCGGUCAAAGCCCGGGGCUCAACCCCGGCACGCCGUUGAAACUGGCAGGCUCGAGUUGGAGAGAGGUAUGCGGAAUGCGCGGUGUAGCGGUGAAAUGCAUAGAUAUCGCGCAGAACUCCGAUUGCGAAGGCAGCAUGCCGGCUCCACACUGACGCUGAGGCACGAAAGCGUGGGUAUCGAACAGGAUUAGAUACCCCUGUAGUC
This 459-nucleotide ribosomal RNA is filed under the name uncultured bacterium. RNAcentral's name for it is "partial 16S ribosomal RNA". It matches the Rfam family "Bacterial small subunit ribosomal RNA", at positions 338 to 795 of the family's 1533-position model. The record is from RNAcentral.